CGGGAGGCAGCAGUAGGGAAUCUUAGACAAUGGGCGAAACCCUGAUCUAGCCAUGCCGCGUGAGUGAUGAAGGCCCUAGGGUCGUAAAGCACUUUCAACAGAGAUGAUAAUGACGGUAGCAGUAGAAGAAACCCCGGCUAACUCCGUGCCAGCAGCCGCGGUAAUACGGAGGGGGUUAGCGUUGUUCGGAAUUACUGGGCGUAAAGCGUACGUAGGCGGAUUAAUAAGUUAGAGGUGAAAUCCCAGGGCUCAACCCUGGAACUGCCUUUAAUACUGUUAGUCUUGAGAUCGAGAGAGGUGAGUGGAAUUCCAGAGUGUAGAGGUGAAAUUCGUAGAUAUUCGGAGGAACACCAGUGGCGAAGGCGGCUCACUGGCUCGAUACUGACGCUGAGGUACGAAAGUGUGGGGAGCAAACAGGAUUAGAUACCCUGGUAGUCCACACCGUAAACGAUGAAUGCCAGACGUCAGCUAGCAUGCUUGUUGGUGUCACACCUAACGGAUUAAGCAUUCCGCCUGGGGAGUACGGUCGCAAGAUU
Molecule: ribosomal RNA, 536 nt
Filed under: uncultured Alphaproteobacteria bacterium
Lineage: Bacteria; Pseudomonadati; Pseudomonadota; Alphaproteobacteria
Description: bacterial SSU rRNA
Rfam family: Bacterial small subunit ribosomal RNA
Source: RNAcentral